GAUGGGGCUGCGGCCCAUCAUGGUUGUUGGUGGGGUAACGGCCCACCAAGCCGAAGAUCCGUACGGGCCAUGAGAGUGGGAGCCCGGAGAUGGACCCUGAGACACGGGUCCAGGCCCUACGGGGCGCAGCAGGCGCGAAACCUCCGCAAUGCGGGAAACCGCGACGGGGUCAGCCGGAGUGCUCGCGCAUCGCGCGGGCUGUCGGGGUGCCUAAAAAGCACCCCAUAGCAAGGGCCGGGCAAGGCCGGUGGCAGCCGCCGCGGUAAUACCGGCGGCCCGAGUGGCGGCCACUUUUAUUGGGCCUAAAGCGUCCGUAGCCGGGCUGGUAAGUCCUCCGGGAAAUCUGGUCGCUUAACGAUCAGACUGCCGGAGGAUACUGCCAGCCUAGGGACCGGGAGAGGCCGGGGGUAUUCCCGGGGUAGGGGUGAAAUCCUGUAAUCCCGGGAGGACCACCUGUGGCGAAGGCGCCCGGCUGGAACGGGUCCGACGGUGAGGGACGAAGGCCAGGGGAGCGAACCGGAUUAGAUACCCGGGUAGUCCUGGCUGUAAACGAUGCGGACUAGGUGUCACCGAAGCUACGAGCUUCGGUGGUGCCGGAGGGAAGCCGUUA
This 610-nucleotide ribosomal RNA is filed under the name uncultured archaeon. RNAcentral describes it as "bacterial SSU rRNA". It matches the Rfam family "Archaeal small subunit ribosomal RNA", at positions 208 to 817 of the family's 1478-position model. The record is from RNAcentral.